RNAcentral lists this long non-coding RNA (235 nucleotides) under Drosophila guanche. Lineage: Eukaryota; Metazoa; Arthropoda; Insecta; Diptera; Drosophilidae. The record is from RNAcentral.
CUCGUUUUCGUCUACUUCCCAAAUACUCUCUCUAUAUUUCGUUUUUGUUUGCUGCAGUAAUAUCAGCUUCAAGCGAACAAAUUGCCAUUGGAAUGGUAAACCGUAUAGCAAGCACCAAGUUUUUCUUAGUUCUUCUUUUGCACGCAUUCGCAUGUUCCGUAAGCCGCGCAAGCGUAUGCUCGCUCACGAAAAUAUGAGCACAAUGCUCUCACAAGUGGUACAUUUGCUGUUGUUG